AUAUAAGCAAUGAACAAGCGCAGUAGUGGUUGUCCACGGGAGAAAGAAGAGAAUUGUCGGUCGGUGCAAGACAAUCCCCCACAUCCGCGAAGUACACUUGGGAGCAAUCCGUCAGGACGUCUCAUCCGCGAUAAGGAUGCUCGAGUGGAUGAUGCCUCGCAUCGUCAACAAGGGUGGUAACACGGUGAAAAUCGUCCCUAAU
This 202-nucleotide non-coding RNA is filed under the name Granulicatella adiacens. RNAcentral describes it as "T-box sequence". It matches the Rfam family "T-box leader". Rfam says of the family: Uncharged tRNA acts as the effector for transcription antitermination of genes in the T-box leader family. T-boxes are found upstream of many aminoacyl-tRNA synthetase genes and some amino acid biosynthetic genes usually in Gram-positive bacteria. The anticodon of a specific tRNA base pairs to a specifier sequence within the T-box motif, and the NCCA acceptor tail of the tRNA base pairs to a conserved bulge in the T-box antiterminator hairpin. Lineage: Bacteria; Bacillati; Bacillota; Bacilli; Lactobacillales; Carnobacteriaceae. The record is from RNAcentral.